RNAcentral lists this ribosomal RNA (274 nucleotides) under uncultured bacterium. RNAcentral describes it as "partial 16S ribosomal RNA". It matches the Rfam family "Bacterial small subunit ribosomal RNA", at positions 83 to 354 of the family's 1533-position model. The record is from RNAcentral.
CCCGUCCGGCGACCGGCGCACGGGUGAGUAACACGUAUGAAACCUGCCCGUAGCAGGGGAUAAGCGGAAGAAAUUCCGUCUAAUACCGCGUAACAACCCAUGGAGGCAUCUCUGUGGGUUUAAAGGAAGCGAUUCCGGCUACGGAUGGUCAUGCGUCGCAUUAGCUUGUUGGCGGGGUAACGGCCCACCAAGGCGACGAUGCGUAGGGGUUCUGAGAGGAAGGUCCCCCACACUGGUACUGAGACACGGACCAGACUCCUACGGAAGGCAGCAG